Molecule: ribosomal RNA, 253 nt
Filed under: uncultured bacterium
Lineage: Bacteria
Description: partial 16S ribosomal RNA
Rfam family: Bacterial small subunit ribosomal RNA
Source: RNAcentral
UACGUAGGGGGCAAGCGUUGUACGGAAUUACUGGGCGUAAAGCGCGUGUAGGUGGAUUGGUAAGUCAAAUGUGAAAGCCCGUGGCUUAACCUCGGAAGUGCAUUCGAAACUGUCAGGCUUGAGUCCCGGAGAGGUAAGUGGAAUUCCUGGUGUAUCGGUGAAAUUCGUAUAGAUCGGGAGGAAAACCAGUGGCGAAGGCGCCUAUCUGGACGGUAUCUGACGCUGAGUCGCGAAAGCGUGGGGAGCAAACAGG